This 71-nucleotide transfer RNA is filed under the name Sphaerodactylus townsendi. Its description in RNAcentral is "tRNA-Thr". The record is from RNAcentral. Lineage: Eukaryota; Metazoa; Chordata; Lepidosauria; Squamata; Sphaerodactylidae.
GGACCACAGCUCAGUGGUAGUGCAUUUGCUUGGUAUGCAGAAGGUCUUGGGUUCAAUACCCCGCAUCUCCA